Molecule: ribosomal RNA, 459 nt
Filed under: uncultured Anoxybacillus sp.
Lineage: Bacteria; Bacillati; Bacillota; Bacilli; Caryophanales; Anoxybacillaceae
Description: bacterial SSU rRNA
Rfam family: Bacterial small subunit ribosomal RNA
Source: RNAcentral
GCACAAGCGGUGGAGCAUGUGGUUUAAUUCGAAGCAACGCGAAGAACCUUACCAGGUCUUGACAUCCCUGACAACCCGAGAGAUCGGGCGUUCCCCUUCGGGGGACAGGGUGACAGGUGGUGCAUGGUUGUCGUCAGCUCGUGUCGUGAGAUGUUGGGUUAAGUCCCGCAACGAGCGCAACCCUCGACCUUAGUUGCCAGCAUUCAGUUGGGCACUCUAAGGUGACUGCCGGCUAAAAGUCGGAGGAAGUGGGGAUGACGUCAAAUCAUCAUGCCCCUUAUGACCUGGGCUACACACGUGCUACAAUGGGCGGUACAAAGGGUCGCGAACCCGCGAGGGGGAGCCAAUCCCAAAAAGCCGCUCUCAGUUCGGAUUGCAGGCUGCAACUCGCCUGCAUGAAGCCGGAAUCGCUAGUAAUCGCGGAUCAGCUACGCCGCGGUGAAUACGUUCUCGGGCCUU